Humulus lupulus (European hop) is the source of this 408-nucleotide long non-coding RNA. RefSeq lists it as uncharacterized. The record is from RefSeq and is a predicted model, not a curated record. Lineage: Eukaryota; Viridiplantae; Streptophyta; Magnoliopsida; Rosales; Cannabaceae. The transcript has 3 exons.
GGAACAUCUGCUUGUCCAAAUGGAAGAUUCUAUUGUCAAAAUGCAGGGCAUGCUCCUAAAGUGUUAUUCUACUAGAGUGAAUGAUGGUAUAUGCGGAUGCUGUGGACGUCCAUGACAGUUUAGCUGCUGAAGCUGAACAUGGUGAUGCUUCCAGAAAGGAAAGGUCCUCAGUUCAAGGUGUAGAACAUGUCUAUAUUGAGAUGCAUUUCUUUGGCGUAAUACUAGACAACAUUGACAGUUGAAGUUUUUAGAAUAAAAAAUAUAUUUCACUAACAUUGUAUACAUUUCUUGUUUAAUAUUUGGUGAUGAUAUAAUUUGAUUGUAGUAUAAACUGUCAUGUAAUAUGAUUUUGUAAGCCGAAUAGACUAAAUACUGAAAUGAUAUUUUUGAGUAAUUAAUAAAAAAUUA